This 496-nucleotide ribosomal RNA is filed under the name uncultured bacterium. RNAcentral's name for it is "partial 16S ribosomal RNA". It matches the Rfam family "Bacterial small subunit ribosomal RNA", at positions 28 to 506 of the family's 1533-position model. The record is from RNAcentral.
GAUGAACGCUGGCGGCGUGCCUAAUACAUGCAAGUCGAGCGAACAGACGAGGAGCUUGCUCCUCUGACGUUAGCGGCGGACGGGUGAGUAACACGUGGAUAACCUACCUAUAAGACUGGGAUAACUUCGGGAAACCGGAGCUAAUACCGGAUAAUAUAUUGAACCGCAUGGUUCAAUAGUGAAAGACGGUUUUGCUGUCACUUAUAGAUGGAUCCGCGCCGCAUUAGCUAGUUGGUAAGGUAACGGCUUACCAAGGCAACGAUGCGUAGCCGACCUGAGAGGGGGAUCGGCCACACUGGAACUGAGACACGGUCAAGACUCCUACGGGAGGCAGCAGUAGGGAAUCUUCCGAAAUGGGCGAAAGCCUGACGGAGCAACGCCGCGUGAGUGAUGAAGGUCUUCGGAUCGUAAAACUCUGUUAUUAGGGAAGAAAAAAUGUGUAAGUAACUAUGCCCGUCUUGACGGUACCUAAUAAGAAAGCCACGGCUAACUACGU